Molecule: non-coding RNA, 3657 nt
Organism: Amborella trichopoda
Lineage: Eukaryota; Viridiplantae; Streptophyta; Magnoliopsida; Amborellales; Amborellaceae
Source: RefSeq, a predicted model, not a curated record
ACAUUGACAAAGUUGGUGAAAUUUUUUGUGGGAUUGCCAUCUAGCUGGACUCUAAAAGUUGCACGAGUGCCUAAAUUCUCAUUCUAGAGCAAUAUUUUCGGGAGAGGUGCAACUGUGUAGUGGAAGACCCUAAACCACUAUUCUUCAAGCUACUAUCAAACCAUUUCAGGAUAUAUACAACAGAUACAACAACCAGAUUGUAAAGGAUCAAAGGUAUUUGUAUACUAAAGAAUAGGGGAUUACUAUUGUAAGAUUUCCAUUGGCAAAGAUGAUGACAGCAUGUUGCAAAGGCAACACCUCUCAGGCUGCAAUUGUCUCCUGGUCCAUUAUGUUGCUGAAUGAGGCAGCACCUUAAGGUAAAGUCUGCAAGCACAAUUUAAAUAUGAAAUAAGGAAUGCAGUGAAUUCCCGAAGCCAGUAAUGCUGACAAAGUUAUCUUCACAUGCAUUCCCUAGUUAAUUAUUGGGUGACAAACUGAAUUUGCCAACCUGUGGCAGGACCACAUAGAUGUUUCCCAAUUGCCAGGAAGAAACACCCCCUAAAAGUCUAUACAUUAUUCAAGUCCAAAUCAUCAACUGCAAUAGUUAAUUUAGACAUUAGAUGCGCAAGGGGGAUGUAACUGACAGUAUUCAAUAAAUACAUCUAUGCAUGUAAUGCGAAAUAUUGUCUGCUUAUCAUGUUAACUGUGUUAGAAAACCAAAUGAGCUCCCAUUGAAAAUAGCCUUCAUUAGUUUAAUAGUGAUUAUGUAAGGAACUCAAGGCCCCUGCAAGGUCCCCUGACCACUUGGCCCUCUAGCACUAUUACAACACAAUUUGUUUAAUGAACUUUCAACAUGCAAGAGCAAUUUGAAGUUGGACCAAUGCAGCCCAUGGAAAAAGCAUUAUGCCAUUACUUACCUGGUUAUAGUAUAAAACUCGACAAUCCUCUUAACUUGAUGGUGAAGCCUUUCAACAUAUUGCUAUGAAGGGUAAGGGACCAUAGCUAAUGGAUUAUGGAUGAUUGCAAUACUUCAUGAACCCACAUCUUAAAAGGGAGCCAUGCCUCAGCCAUUGGAGCUCAUUGCAAAAGAAAUUCUUUCUAAAUGGUAUUCCAUCAUUUCACAGAGACAAUCAGAACUUCGUGGCUGUCACUCGUGCCAGAUUGUGUGUGGUGUUGACAACCUACUUUUUGCUUGGUGAUUCGACACCUCACUUUUUUGGCUUAGUAGUGUAGACAACUUGAGGAAAAUACAGAACAAAUAGACAAACUUGUUCAGUUGCUCCUGUUAAUUUGAUUACAUAUUCUUGGGACCUAAGUGCUAAUAUACUGGUCACCUUCUGAUAUUGGUUGGAAUUCACUUUCUUUUCUGCUUCAGAAUACAUAUAGUAAUCAAUAAAAAAAAGUCAUAUACAAAAUCACUGAUUGUAUAGCAUUAAUGGGUACAGUUACUCUACAAAUGGAAAAACAAUAACAUGUCAAACUUUCAGAUGCAAAUGCUGACAUCUGCGGUGUGCAUUCCACAAUUCAAAGGCUGUUAAAAUUUUCAACACACUUUGAAUGGAGGAAUGAUGCACCCCAGCCAUGUGAUUUCACAUCUGAAGGUUUGGGGUGUAGUUAAUUCUCCAACCAAAAAGUAACUGCACUCAUUGUAUCUGAUCCCAUUUUAAAUUAUUUUUUAUUCUUGGUUUGCCAAGGAGGAUUUGAUUCUUUGCUACUAAAAAUGUGACACAUAAUGUUUUCUUCAAUAUUAUUUCACCUGAACAUAUUUAUAUGCAAAUUUGACUUGAUAUGAUAAAAAUAAAAUAAUGAACUCUAAUGCUGUCACAGGUCCGGCAUUAUAAUCAAGCAAUGCAACCUGAUUUAAAUUGUGACAUGGGAAAUGUGCACAAGAGUGAAAUUGGAGAGAACAUCAGAAGGAAAGAUAAGAUACAAUUUCUUAUCAAUACACUUCUUCAUUUGAAAGAAUCUAAAGAUGCCGUUUAUGUUGCUCUUGAUGCUUGGGUUGCAUGGGAAAACAAGUUCCCCAUAGUUUCACCGAAGAGAGCACUGGCUAUUCUUGAGAAGGAGCAACAAUGGCACCGAAUUAUUCAAGUGCAUAUGGAGCACUUACGGGUGGUGUUUUACUUGAUACGGGUUAUGUUGUUUCAGCCGAGGGGAUUAAGAUUGACCAACGGAAGGUAACAUUUAUCAGGGAUUGGCCUACUCCUAUUACAGUGCAUUAUGUUCGCAGUUUUCAUGGGUUGGCUACUUUUUAUGGGAGGUUUAUUAGAGGCUUUAGUUCAAUCAUAACUCAUAUCACAGAUUGUCUGAAGAAGGGGGAUUUGUAUGGACUGAUGAAGCUGAGAAAAUUUUUCAGUUGGUGAAUCAGAAGAUAACUUCAGAUCGGGAUACGAAGUUUCUCAACCAUUUUUUGGGAACUUUGUGGAAGAAAUUGGGCACUCGGUUACAAUUUAGCAGUGCUUAUCAUCCGUAGACAGAUGGCCAGACUAAAGUGGUAAACCGUACUCUUGGCAAUCUUUCGAGAAGUAUUGUGAGGUAAAAGAAGAAACAAUGUGACCUAACACAACCUCAAACCGAGUUUGCCUAUAAUAGAGUAUUCAAUAGAUCUACUGGAGGAGUCUGAGGGUAAGCUGAAGGGAAUCUUGGGCUACAUUCAGGAUGACGUGGGCUCCAUCAACUUUGUUGUGGAUUGCAGGACAAGUUUGAGGGUAAGCUGAAGGGGCUACACAAAGGAUGAUGCAGACUGACUUUCUUGUUAAUAGCAAUAAUCACAUUGACAAAGUUGGUGAAACAUCUUGUGGAUGGGCUCUAGAAGUUGCAUGAGAGUGCUUCAAUUCUCAUUCUAGAAGCAAAUAUUCAUUUGAAAGAAGUCCAGGAUGAAGGCGAGGAAGAUGAGGAUGAUGGAAUUGAAGAUGUUGAUGAAAAUGAAUGUGAUGAUGAGAAUGAGGAUGCAAGUUCCCCCCCCCCCGAGCCCAGGCGGCCGCCGCAUGAGAGUGAUUACAUUGACAAUGUGACAAUAUUUUGAAGACUGGAAGUGUCUGCCUAUGUGGCGAAUUGGCCAAUCAAUUAUUGUUGAUUUGGUUAUUUUAGGAUUCUGAAGAGGAUGAUCAUGAAGAAACAAAGGAAGAAUUUCUGGAGAGAUACGCACUGGUAGCUCAUGAAUUGGAGAGUUAAACGAUUGAAGAAGAUGAGGAUCAUGUAGAUGAUGAGACCCAUAAAAUUGAAAUAGGUAAACCUUGUCCUCUUUCCUUUUGUUGCAAAUUGAACAAUGACUCUCGUCCUAAUUAUUCUUUCAUUCUAUCUUGCUUAUUUGCCUAGUCUGAUUCCUGAGGCUCUGUAACAAUUGAAUAUGAUCUGGGAGGAUUGGAUUAGCAAAGAGAUGUCUUCUUGAUAAAAGAACAUCAGCAUCUCCUUGCAUUUGGACAGCGGAUACGUUUUGAACAUAUUUCAAGUUUCACUGAAUGCUUCCCUAAAUGUGUUCGAGUCUUUACAGCCUCCUGUUGAGAAGUUGCAUGUAUUUUAUUUGAGUGAGUUUGUAGUCUUCUGGAUUUGUCAUUUCGGUUAUAUUUGAUUUAUUUUGUAGUCUUUGCUAGGCCCUAGGUAUUUUUGGAGUAAUUGAUUUAUUUGCUGUGCUUCUUGCUUGCCCUAUUAUUUGUGCAUAGAUCUACAUUGCCAACA